Non-coding RNA from Anaerolineaceae bacterium 4572_78, 231 nucleotides. The record is from Rfam. NCBI's taxonomy places the organism in Bacteria, Bacillati, Chloroflexota, Anaerolineae, Anaerolineales, Anaerolineaceae.
GUCAAUAACCCCUGAAUAGGAGUAGGUGCUUGUAGGAGUAAUCUUGCAGACUCUCCGAGUUGACCAGACUUAGUACUUGUAAAAGUGCUAAGUUAAAAGCUAUACAACACAGGUACGGCAGGGGGCUUCUCCAGCCUUGCCCGCUACGGUGUGAUGUGAAACAGAUGUACAGUUAAAUCAGUGCAUCACACAUUCAAACCUACGGACCAACAUUGUCGAGGAGAUAUUUAC